RNAcentral lists this ribosomal RNA (497 nucleotides) under uncultured bacterium. Its description in RNAcentral is "partial 16S ribosomal RNA". It matches the Rfam family "Bacterial small subunit ribosomal RNA", at positions 28 to 507 of the family's 1533-position model. The record is from RNAcentral.
GAUGAACGCUGGCGGCGUGCCUAAUACAUGCAAGUCGAGCGAACAGACGAGGAGCUUGCUCCUCUGACGUUAGCGGCGGCCGGGUGAGUAACACGUGGAUAACCUACCUAUAAGACUGGGAUAACUUCGGGAAACCGGAGCUAAUACCGGAUAAUAUAUUGAACCGCAUGGUUCAAUAGUGAAAGACGGUUUUGCUGUCACUUAUAGAUGGAUCCGCGCCGCAUUAGCUAGUUGGUAAGGUAACGGCUUACCAAGGCAACGAUGCGUAGCCGACCUGAGAGGGUGAUCGGCCACACUGGAACUGAGACACGGUCCAGACUCCUACGGGAGGCAGCAGUAGGGAAUCUUCCGCAAUGGGCGAAAGCCUGACGGAGCAACGCCGCGUGAGUGAUGAGGGUCUUCGGAUCGUAAAACUCUGUUAUUAGGGAAGAACAAAUGUGUAAGUAACUAUGCACGUCUUGACGGUACCUAAUCAGAAAGCCACGGCUAACUACGUG